GGGUUGUGAGGUUAAGCGACUAAGCGUACACGGUGGAUGCCCUGGCAGUCAGAGGCGAUGAAGGACGUGCUAAUCUGCGAUAAGCGUCGGUGAGGUGAUAUGAACCGUUAUAACCGGCGAUUUCCGAAUGGGGAAACCCAGUGUGUUUCGACACACUAUCAUUAACUGAAUCCAUAGGUUAAUGAGGCGAACCGGGGGAACUGAAACAUCUAAGUACCCCGAGGAAAAGAAAUCAACCGAGAUUCCCCCAGUAGCGGCGAGCGAACGGGGAGGAGCCCAGAGCCUGAAUCAGUGUGUGUGUUAGUGGAAGCGUCUGGAAAGGCGCGCGAUACAGGGUGACAGCCCCGUACACAAAAAUGCACAUAUUGUGAGCUCGAUGAGUAGGGCGGGACACGUGGUAUCCUGUCUGAAUAUGGGGGGACCAUCCUCCAAGGCUAAAUACUCCUGACUGACCGAUAGUGAACCAGUACCGUGAGGGAAAGGCGAAAAGAACC
This 494-nucleotide ribosomal RNA is filed under the name Escherichia coli. RNAcentral describes it as "partial 23S ribosomal RNA". It matches the Rfam family "Bacterial large subunit ribosomal RNA", at positions 1 to 525 of the family's 2925-position model. The record is from RNAcentral. RNAcentral also lists the same sequence under 1 other name. Lineage: Bacteria; Pseudomonadati; Pseudomonadota; Gammaproteobacteria; Enterobacterales; Enterobacteriaceae.